This 1601-nucleotide ribosomal RNA is filed under the name Salmonella enterica. Its description in RNAcentral is "partial 23S ribosomal RNA". It matches the Rfam family "Bacterial large subunit ribosomal RNA", at positions 1217 to 2802 of the family's 2925-position model. RNAcentral also lists the same sequence under 1 other name. The record is from RNAcentral. Lineage: Bacteria; Pseudomonadati; Pseudomonadota; Gammaproteobacteria; Enterobacterales; Enterobacteriaceae.
UGUGUUGUUGGGUAGGGGAGCGUUCUGUAAGCCUGUGAAGGUGUGUCGUGAGGCAUGCUGGAGGUAUCAGAAGUGCGAAUGCUGACAUAAGUAACGAUAAAGCGGGUGAAAAGCCCGCUCGCCGGAAGACCAAGGGUUCCUGUCCAACGUUAAUCGGGGCAGGGUGAGUCGACCCCUAAGGCGAGGCCGAAAGGCGUAGUCGAUGGGAAACAGGUUAAUAUUCCUGUACUUGGUGUUACUGCGAAGGGGGGACGGAGAAGGCUAUGUUGGCCGGGCGACGGUUGUCCCGGUUUAAGCGUGUAGGCUGGUUUUCCAGGCAAAUCCGGAAAAUCAAGGCUGAGGCGUGAUGACGAGGCACUACGGUGCUGAAGCAACAAAUGCCCUGCUUCCAGGAAAAGCCUCUAAGCAUCAGGUAACAUCAAAUCGUACCCCAAACCGACACAGGUGGUCAGGUAGAGAAUACCAAGGCGCUUGAGAGAACUCGGGUGAAGGAACUAGGCAAAAUGGUGCCGUAACUUCGGGAGAAGGCACGCUGACACGUAGGUGAAGUGAUUUACUCACGGAGCUGAAGUCAGUCGAAGAUACCAGCUGGCUGCAACUGUUUAUUAAAAACACAGCACUGUGCAAACACGAAAGUGGACGUAUACGGUGUGACGCCUGCCCGGUGCCGGAAGGUUAAUUGAUGGGGUCAGCGCAAGCGAAGCUCCUGAUCGAAGCCCCGGUAAACGGCGGCCGUAACUAUAACGGUCCUAAGGUAGCGAAAUUCCUUGUCGGGUAAGUUCCGACCUGCACGAAUGGCGUAAUGAUGGCCAGGCUGUCUCCACCCGAGACUCAGUGAAAUUGAACUCGCUGUGAAGAUGCAGUGUACCCGCGGCAAGACGGAAAGACCCCGUGAACCUUUACUAUAGCUUGACACUGAACAUUGAGCCUUGAUGUGUAGGAUAGGUGGGAGGCUUUGAAGUGUGGACGCCAGUCUGCAUGGAGCCGACCUUGAAAUACCACCCUUUAAUGUUUGAUGUUCUAACGUGGACCCGUAAUCCGGGUUGCGGACAGUGUCUGGUGGGUAGUUUGACUGGGGCGGUCUCCUCCUAAAGAGUAACGGAGGAGCACGAAGGUUGGCUAAUCCUGGUCGGACAUCAGGAGGUUAGUGCAAUGGCAUAAGCCAGCUUGACUGCGAGCGUGACGGCGCGAGCAGGUGCGAAAGCAGGUCAUAGUGAUCCGGUGGUUCUGAAUGGAAGGGCCAUCGCUCAACGGAUAAAAGGUACUCCGGGGAUAACAGGCUGAUACCGCCCAAGAGUUCAUAUCGACGGCGGUGUUUGGCACCUCGAUGUCGGCUCAUCACAUCCUGGGGCUGAAGUAGGUCCCAAGGGUAUGGCUGUUCGCCAUUUAAAGUGGUACGCGAGCUGGGUUUAGAACGUCGUGAGACAGUUCGGUCCCUAUCUGCCGUGGGCGCUGGAGAACUGAGGGGGGCUGCUCCUAGUACGAGAGGACCGGAGUGGACGCAUCACUGGUGUUCGGGUUGUCAUGCCAAUGGCACUGCCCGGUAGCUAAAUGCGGAAGAGAUAAGUGCUGAAAGCAUCUAAGCACGAAACUUGCCCCGA